This 490-nucleotide ribosomal RNA is filed under the name uncultured bacterium. RNAcentral describes it as "partial 16S ribosomal RNA". It matches the Rfam family "Bacterial small subunit ribosomal RNA", at positions 30 to 507 of the family's 1533-position model. The record is from RNAcentral.
AUUGAACGCUGGCGGCAGGCCUAACACAUGCAAGUCGAACGGUAACAGGAAGAAGCUUGCUUCUUUGCUGACGAGUGGCGGACGGGUGAGUAAUGUCUGGGAAACUGCCUGAUGGAGGGGGAUAACUACUGGAAACGGUAGCUAAUACCGCAUAACGUCGCAAGACCAAAAAGGGGGACCUUCGGGCCUCUUGCCAUCGGAUGUGCCCAGAUGGGAUUAGCUAGUAGGUGGGGUAACGGCUCACCUAGGCGACGAUCCCUAGCUGGUCUGAGAGGAUGACCAGCCACACUGGAACUGAGACACGGUCCAGACUCCUACGGGAGGCAGCAGUGGGGAAUAUUGCACAAUGGGCGCAAGCCUGAUGCAGCCAUGCCGCGUGUAUGAAGAAGGCCUUCGGGUUGUAAAGUACUUUCAGCAGGGAGGAAGGGAGUAAAGUUAAUACCUUUGCUCAUUGACGUUACCCGCAGAAGAAGCACCGGCUAACUCCGUG